GACGAACGCUGGCGGCGUGCUUAACACAUGCAAGUCGAACGGAAAGGCCCUGCUUUUGUGGGGUGCUCGAGUGGCGAACGGGUGAGUAACACGUGAGUAACCUGCCCUUGACUUUGGGAUAACUUCAGGAAACUGGGGCUAAUACCGGAUAGGAGCUCCUGCUGCAUGGUGGGGGUUGGAAAGUUUCGGCGGUUGGGGAUGGACUCGCGGCUUAUCAGCUUGUUGGUGGGGUAGUGGCUUACCAAGGCUUUGACGGGUAGCCGGCCUGAGAGGGUGACCGGCCACAUUGGGACUGAGAGACGGCCCAGACUCCUACGGGAGGCAGCAGUGGGGAAUAUUGCACAGUGGGCGGGAGCCUGAUGCAGCGACGCCGCGUGCGGGAUGACGGCCUUCGGGUUGUGAACCGCUUUCGCCUGUGACGAAGCGUGAGUGACGGUAAUGGGUAAAGAAGCACCGGCUAACUACGUG
This 468-nucleotide ribosomal RNA is filed under the name uncultured bacterium. RNAcentral's name for it is "partial 16S ribosomal RNA". It matches the Rfam family "Bacterial small subunit ribosomal RNA", at positions 28 to 507 of the family's 1533-position model. The record is from RNAcentral.